Molecule: ribosomal RNA, 468 nt
Filed under: uncultured bacterium
Lineage: Bacteria
Description: partial 16S ribosomal RNA
Rfam family: Bacterial small subunit ribosomal RNA
Source: RNAcentral
GACGAACGCUGGCGGCGUGCUUAACACACGCAAGUCGAACGGAAAGGCCCUGCUUUUGUGGGGUGCUCGAGUGGCGAACGGGUGAGUAACACGUGAGUAACCUGCCCUUGACUUUGGGAUAACUUCAGGAAACUGGGGCUAAUACCGGAUAGGAGCUCCUGCUGCAUGGUGGGGGUUGGAAAGUUUCGGCGGUUGGGGAUGGACUCGCGGCUUAUCAGCUUGUUGGUGGGGUAGUGGCUUACCAAGGCUUUGACGGGUAGCCGGCCUGAGAGGGUGACCGGCCACAUUGGGACUGAGAUACGGCCCAGACUCCUACGGGAGGCAGCAGUGGGGAAUAUUGCACAAUGGGCGGAAGCCUGAUGCAGCAACGCCGCGUGCGGGAUGAUGGCCUUCGGGUUGUAAACCGCUUUCGCCUGUGACGAAGCGUGAGUGACGGUAAUGGGUAAAGAAGCACCGGCUAACUACGUG